Molecule: long non-coding RNA, 418 nt
Organism: Lutra lutra (Eurasian river otter)
Lineage: Eukaryota; Metazoa; Chordata; Mammalia; Carnivora; Mustelidae
Exons: 3
Source: RefSeq, a predicted model, not a curated record
ACGUGUGCACCUCUAGCACAAGUUACGAAACUGCACUGAAAUGAUAAACCACGUCUCUCUUCCAGGCCACUGUGAGCUCCAUGGGAGGCUGCACCAGGCUUUGUCUUCCCAACCCAUUGUUUUGAAGAGUGCCCGGCACACUGCAGGUGCUCAAGAACUGCCUAUGGAAUUCAUGAACGAGGUAAAGCAGAUUUACAGUAAAAAGAAAAUCUUGGUGACUGAGUUCAUGAGACAUUGGCAAAUGGUAUGCCCUAUGCAGACCACAGGAACUCAGCCUCCAACCACAGCGCCUGACCAAAGUGCUGGCAUACAGGACCCAUGUAUCUGAGGAGAAGUAAACCAAGAAACAGCCUCUCAACUACGAAGAACAAACUGAUGGUGAGCACCAGGACAGGGGUGUGGGGGUAGAUGGGUGAAA